Molecule: transfer RNA, 73 nt
Filed under: Muntiacus reevesi (Reeves' muntjac)
Lineage: Eukaryota; Metazoa; Chordata; Mammalia; Artiodactyla; Cervidae
Also listed under: 2 other names
Rfam family: tRNA
About the family: Transfer RNA (tRNA) molecules are approximately 80 nucleotides in length. Their secondary structure includes four short double-helical elements and three loops (D, anti-codon, and T loops).
Source: Rfam by way of RNAcentral
UCCCUGGUGGUCCAGUGGUUAAGACUCUGCACUUCCAAUGCAGGGGGCUCUGGUUCGAUUCUUGGUGGAGGAA